AAGUCUGCGAGUUACUUUACUAAACUUGAGCUUGAAUUGUAGUUCGGUUGUUUGCUGCCGGGUUUCUCCUUUGCAGAAAGCGCAGGUGACAAGCUUGGUUAAGAAGGGGGCAAACAGAAUAACUCUCAGCAUUGGUGAUGGAGCUAAUGAUGUAAGUAUGAUUCAAGCUGCUCAUGUUGGUGUUGGGAUAAGUGGACAGGAGGGAAUGCAAGCAGUGAUGGCUAGUGAUUUUGCAAUAGCUCAGUUCCGAUUUCUCGCUGAUUUACUGCUUGUCCAUGGACGCUGGUCAUAUCUGAGAAUAUGCAAGGUUGUCACAUAUUUUUAUUACAAGAAUCUUACAUUUACCCUGACUCAGUUUUGG
This 361-nucleotide unclassified non-coding RNA is filed under the name Hevea brasiliensis (rubber tree). The record is from RNAcentral. Lineage: Eukaryota; Viridiplantae; Streptophyta; Magnoliopsida; Malpighiales; Euphorbiaceae.